RNAcentral lists this non-coding RNA (24 nucleotides) under Arabidopsis thaliana (thale cress). The record is from RNAcentral. Lineage: Eukaryota; Viridiplantae; Streptophyta; Magnoliopsida; Brassicales; Brassicaceae.
CGGACCCACGUUGGUCUUGGGUGG